AUUGAACGCUGGCGGCAGGCCUAACACAUGCAAGUCGAACGGUAACAGGAAGAAGCUUGCUUCUUUGCUGACGAGUGGCGGACGGGUGAGUAAUGUCUGGGAAACUGCCUGAUGGAGGGGGAUAACUACUGGAAACGGUAGCUAAUACCGCAUAACGUCGCAAGACCAAAAAGGGGGACCUUCGGGCCUCUUGCCAUCGGAUGUGCCCAGAUGGGAUUAGCUAGUAGGUGGGGUAACGGCUCACCUAGGCGACGAUCCCUAGCUGGUCUGAGAGGAUGACCAGCCACACUGGAACUGAGACACGGUCCAGACUCCUACGGGAGGCAGCAGUGGGGAAUAUUGCACAAUGGGCGCAAGCCUGAUGCAGCCAUGCCGCGUGUAUGAAGAAGGCCUUCGGGUUGUAAAGUACUUUCAGCGGGGAGGAAGGGAGUAAAGUUAAUACCUUUGCUCAUUGACGUUACCCGCAGAAG
RNAcentral lists this ribosomal RNA (470 nucleotides) under Escherichia coli. RNAcentral describes it as "bacterial SSU rRNA". It matches the Rfam family "Bacterial small subunit ribosomal RNA", at positions 30 to 487 of the family's 1533-position model. The record is from RNAcentral. Lineage: Bacteria; Pseudomonadati; Pseudomonadota; Gammaproteobacteria; Enterobacterales; Enterobacteriaceae.